This 390-nucleotide ribosomal RNA is filed under the name uncultured bacterium. Its description in RNAcentral is "bacterial SSU rRNA". It matches the Rfam family "Bacterial small subunit ribosomal RNA", at positions 29 to 414 of the family's 1533-position model. The record is from RNAcentral.
AUUGAACGCUGGCGGCAUGCUUUACACAUGCAAGUCGAACGGUAACGCGGGGGGUAACCCCUGGCGACGAGUGGCGAACGGGUGAGUAAUACAUCGGAACAUGUCCUGGAGUGGGGGAUAGCUCGGCGAAAGCCGGAUUAAUACCGCAUACGCUCUGAGGAGGAAAGCGGGGGACCUGGUAACGGGCCUCGCGCUGCAGGAGUGGCCGAUGUCGGAUUAGCUAGUUGGUGAGGUAAAGGCUCACCAAGGCGACGAUCCGUAGCUGGUCUGAGAGGAUGAUCAGCCACACUGGGACUGAGACACGGCCCAGACUCCUACGGGAGGCAGCAGUGGGGAAUUUUGGAUAAUGGGGGCAACCCUGAUCCAGCCAUGCCGCGUGAGUGAAGAAGG